Molecule: long non-coding RNA, 141 nt
Organism: Rhipicephalus microplus (southern cattle tick)
Lineage: Eukaryota; Metazoa; Arthropoda; Arachnida; Ixodida; Ixodidae
Source: RefSeq, a predicted model, not a curated record
AGAAAAACGAAAAACUCAUCGCCUGUCUUGAAGGAACUGACGCAGCCGCCAAGAAAGAACGCGUGUUGAAGGCUGUGAAUGGUUGCAAGGAAGAAGGCAAAGUGAAGGAAGAAAUGAAGUCAUGCAUUAACGAGAAAAUGG